RNAcentral lists this ribosomal RNA (292 nucleotides) under uncultured bacterium. RNAcentral's name for it is "partial 16S ribosomal RNA". It matches the Rfam family "Bacterial small subunit ribosomal RNA", at positions 505 to 796 of the family's 1533-position model. The record is from RNAcentral.
GUGCCAGCCGCCGCGGUAAAACGUAGGAGGCGAGCGUUAUCCGGAUUUACUGGGCGUAAAGCGUACGCAGGUGGCUGUGUAAGUCGGACAUGAAAGCUCCUGGCUUAACUGGGAGAGGUGGUUCGAAACUGCAUAGCUUGAGGUUGGGAGAGGGACGUGGAAUUCCCGGUGUAGUGGUGGAAUGCGUAGAUAUCGGGAGGAACACCAGUGGCGCAAGCGGCGUCCUGGCCCACACCUGACGCUGAGGUACGAAAGCGUGGGUAGCAAACAGGAUUAGAUACCCGCGUAGUCC